CUUCAUUUUAUCUGAGGGACCUGUAUGUUGUGGUAGUCUCCCUUCCUAGCCAUGGAAGAGCAAAACUGUCACCAUUUAAUAGGUAUCAGACUCUGACUUGCACAAGUAAAGUUC
Molecule: small nucleolar RNA, 114 nt
Filed under: Nannospalax galili (Upper Galilee mountains blind mole rat)
Lineage: Eukaryota; Metazoa; Chordata; Mammalia; Rodentia; Spalacidae
Description: Small nucleolar RNA SNORA24 (ENSNGAG00000007502.1)
Rfam family: Small nucleolar RNA SNORA24
About the family: ACA24 is a member of the H/ACA class of snoRNA that guide the sites of modification of uridines to pseudouridines.
Source: Rfam by way of RNAcentral